RNAcentral lists this ribosomal RNA (451 nucleotides) under uncultured bacterium. RNAcentral describes it as "bacterial SSU rRNA". It matches the Rfam family "Bacterial small subunit ribosomal RNA", at positions 354 to 796 of the family's 1533-position model. The record is from RNAcentral.
GUGGGGAAUAUUGGACAAUGGGGGGAACCCUGAUCCAGCCAUGCCGCGUGUGUGAAGAAGGCCUUUUGGUUGUAAAGCACUUUAAGCGAGGAGGAGGCUACCGAGAUUAAUACUCUUGGAUAGUGGACGUUACUCGCAGAAUAAGCACCGGCUAACUCUGUGCCAGCAGCCGCGGUAAUACAGAGGGUGCAAGCGUUAAUCGGAUUUACUGGGCGUAAAGCGCGCGUAGGUGGCCAAUUAAGUCAAAUGUGAAAUCCCCGAGCUUAACUUGGGAAGUGCAUUCGAUACUGGUUGGCUAGAGUAUGGGAGAGGAUGGUAGAAUUCCAGGUGUAGCGGUGAAAUGCGUAGAGAUCUGGAGGAAUACCGAUGGCGAAGGCAGCCAUCUGGCCUAAUACUGACACUGAGGUGCGAAAGCAUGGGGAGCAAACAGGAUUAGAAACCCGGGUAGUCC